UGCAGUCGAGCGGACAGAUGGGAGCUUGCUCCCUGAUGUUAGCGGCGGACGGGUGAGUAACACGUGGGUAACCUGCCUGUAAGACUGGGAUAACUCCGGGAAACCGGGGCUAAUACCGGAUGGUUGUUUGAACCGCAUGGUUCAGACAUAAAAGGUGGCUUCGGCUACCACUUACAGAUGGACCCGCGGCGCAUUAGCUAGUUGGUGAGGUAACGGCUCACCAAGGCGACGAUGCGUAGCCGACCUGAGAGGGUGAUCGGCCACACUGGGACUGAGACACGGCCCAGACUCCUACGGGAGGCAGCAGUAGGGAAUCUUCCGCAAUGGACGAAAGUCUGACGGAGCAACGCCGCGUGAGUGAUGAAGGUUUUCGGAUCGUAAAGCUCUGUUGUUAGGGAAGAACAAGUGCCGUUCAAAUAGGGCGGCACCUUGACGGUACCUAACCAGAAAGCCACGGCUAACUACGUGCCAGCAGCCGCGGUAAUACGUAGGUGGCAAGCGUUGUCCGGAAUUAUUGGGCGUAAAGGGCUCGCAGGCGGUUUCUUAAGUCUGAUGUGAAAGCCCCCGGCUCAACCGGGGAGGGUCAUUGGAAACUGGGGAACUUGAGUGCAGAAGAGGAGAGUGGAAUUCCACGUGUAGCGGUGAAAUGCGUAGAGAUGUGGAGGAACACCAGUGGCGAAGGCGACUCUCUGGUCUGUAACUGACGCUGAGGAGCGAAAGCGUGGGGAGCGAACAGGAUUAGAUACCCUGGUAGUCCACGCCGUAAACGAUGAGUGCUAAGUGUUAGGGGGUUUCCGCCCCUUAGUGCUGCAGCUAACGCAUUAAGCACUCCGCCUGGGGAGUACGGUCGCAAGACUGAAACUCAAAGGAAUUGACGGGGGCCCGCACAAGCGGUGGAGCAUGUGGUUUAAUUCGAAGCAACGCGAAGAACCUUACCAGGUCUUGACAUCCUCUGACAAUCCUAGAGAUAGGACGUCCCCUUCGGGGGCAGAGUGACAGGUGGUGCAUGGUUGUCGUCAGCUCGUGUCGUGAGAUGUUGGGUUAAGUCCCGCAACGAGCGCAACCCUUGAUCUUAGUUGCCAGCAUUCAGUUGGGCACUCUAAGGUGACUGCCGGUGACAACCCGAGG
This 1128-nucleotide ribosomal RNA is filed under the name Bacillus sp. NCCP-80. Its description in RNAcentral is "bacterial SSU rRNA". It matches the Rfam family "Bacterial small subunit ribosomal RNA", at positions 56 to 1169 of the family's 1533-position model. Lineage: Bacteria; Bacillati; Bacillota; Bacilli; Caryophanales; Bacillaceae. The record is from RNAcentral.